GAUUGUGGCUCAAUGGUAGAGCACUUGCCUAGCAUGCAUGAGGCACGGGGUUCAAUUACCAGCACCA
Molecule: transfer RNA, 67 nt
Filed under: Marmota monax (woodchuck)
Lineage: Eukaryota; Metazoa; Chordata; Mammalia; Rodentia; Sciuridae
Description: tRNA.Ala
Source: RNAcentral